UUACGUCCAUAUCACUUUAAAAUACCGGUUCUCGUACGAUCACCAAAAUUAAGCAAAGUUGAGCCUGGUCAGUAUCUAGAUGGGCGACUCUUUGAGAAUACUAGGCGCUGUAA
Acanthosepion pharaonis is the source of this 113-nucleotide non-coding RNA. Lineage: Eukaryota; Metazoa; Mollusca; Cephalopoda; Sepiida; Sepiidae. The record is from the annotation of a GenBank genome assembly.